UACGAAGGGGGCUAGCGUUGCUCGGAAUCACUGGGCGUAAAGCGCACGUAGGCGGAUUGCUAAGUCAGGGGUGAAAUCCUGGAGCUCAACUCCAGAACUGCCUUUGAUACUGGCGACCUUGAGUCCGGGAGAGGUGAGUGGAACUGCGAGUGUAGAGGUGAAAUUCGUAGAUAUUCGCAAGAACACCAGUGGCGAAGGCGGCCAACUGGUCCGGUACUGACGCUGAGGUGCGAAAGCGUGGGUAGCAAACAGG
This 253-nucleotide ribosomal RNA is filed under the name uncultured bacterium. RNAcentral describes it as "partial 16S ribosomal RNA". It matches the Rfam family "Bacterial small subunit ribosomal RNA", at positions 524 to 776 of the family's 1533-position model. The record is from RNAcentral.